This 301-nucleotide ribosomal RNA is filed under the name uncultured bacterium. RNAcentral's name for it is "partial 16S ribosomal RNA". It matches the Rfam family "Bacterial small subunit ribosomal RNA", at positions 509 to 807 of the family's 1533-position model. The record is from RNAcentral.
CAGCAGCCGCGGGAAUACGUAGGGUGCGGGCGUUAAUCGGAAUUACUGGGCGUAAAGCGUGCGCAGGCGGUUCGUUAAGACAGAUGUGAAAUCCCCGGGCUUAACCUGGGAACUGCAUUUGUGACUGGCGAGCUAGAGUAUGGCAGAGGGGGGUAGAAUUCCACGUGUAGCAGUGAAAUGCGUAGAGAUGUGGAGGAAUACCGAUGGCGAAGGCAGCCCCCUGGGCCAAUACUGACGCUCAUGCACGAAAGCGUGGGGAGCAAACAGGAUUAGAUACCCCGGUAGUCCCUGUCUCUUAUAC